RNAcentral lists this long non-coding RNA (559 nucleotides) under Lupinus angustifolius (narrow-leaved blue lupine). RNAcentral's name for it is "long non-coding RNA (LANG_LNC003383)". The record is from RNAcentral. Lineage: Eukaryota; Viridiplantae; Streptophyta; Magnoliopsida; Fabales; Fabaceae.
UGCAAACAAAAGUGCAUUUUUGCUUAUUAUGUGUUUUGAAUAGCAAAAAAAUAGACAGAUACAUCCAUUAAACACAGUCAUAAGCGUAUUGUUAAAAUAAAAGGUAAUAGGUCGAGCCAUUCAUCUGUGUAUCAUUGCAUGUUUAUGUCAGUAACAUGAAUCAAAGACUCAGUCAUAAACGAAAUUAAGAUCAUGAGAAAAUAUACCCCAAAUGUCAUAGCAACCCCGAUAGAGGAACCAAUUUCCAAUUGAUGAUGAGCCGGCAUGGAUUCAGAUAUGGCCUCGAUAUGUGGCGGAGCCCCGCCGUCUUGCCGUCACCGAAUCCAUACAACCCGUUUUAAAACCACCGCGUCACCACCAUCGCAAGCCAUAGCCGGAGUGAAAGGAGAAGAGAUGAGAAGGGGAUUCUCUUCGGUUCCUAAUCUGCCGCUAGCAAGAGGGGUUUUUAUGGCUUGGUCUAGCCACCGCCUCCAGAUCCAACAGUCCGCGCCUCUGUUGCCGGCGAGAACCUUUGCCACCUUGGCCAUCGAUCAAGAGAGAGAAAGGAGGUCCCCGCUGA